AACCCAUGAUGAGGACAUUUCCCCAUUAGAUCCUUUAAUCUAUCCCAUGUCUCAAAAAGAGACUUCAAUUUUGUUUGCACAAAAGAAGAUAUCUCAAACCUAAGCUU
Molecule: small nucleolar RNA, 107 nt
Organism: Dioscorea cayenensis subsp. rotundata (Guinea yam)
Lineage: Eukaryota; Viridiplantae; Streptophyta; Magnoliopsida; Dioscoreales; Dioscoreaceae
Source: RefSeq, a predicted model, not a curated record